AGGACGAACGCUGGCGGCGUGCUUAACACAUGCAAGUCGAACGGUGAAGCCUUUCGGGGUGGAUCAGUGGCGAACGGGUGAGUAACACGUGGGCAAUCUGCCCUGCGACUCUGGGACAAGCCCUGGAAACGGGGUCUAAUACCGAAUAUGACUGGCGGACUGGACAUCAGCCACGGUGGAAAGUUUUUCGGCUAGGGAUGGACUCGCGGCCUAUCAGCUAGGUUGGUGAGGUAACCGGCCCACCAAGGCGACGACGGGUA
RNAcentral lists this ribosomal RNA (260 nucleotides) under uncultured bacterium. Its description in RNAcentral is "partial small subunit ribosomal RNA". It matches the Rfam family "Bacterial small subunit ribosomal RNA", at positions 26 to 285 of the family's 1533-position model. The record is from RNAcentral.